This 916-nucleotide ribosomal RNA is filed under the name uncultured bacterium. RNAcentral's name for it is "bacterial SSU rRNA". It matches the Rfam family "Bacterial small subunit ribosomal RNA", at positions 8 to 916 of the family's 1533-position model. The record is from RNAcentral.
AGAGUUUGAUCCUGGCUCAGGACGAACGCUGGCGGCGUGCUUAAUACAUGCAAGUCGAGCGAGGUUACUGUUUCGGAUCCCUUCGGGGUGAAGAAGCUUUAACCUAGCGGCGGACGGGUGAGUAACGCGUGGGUAACCUACCCCAAAGUCCGGGAUAACAGCGGGAAACCGCUGCUAAUACCGGAUGCCUUUACCUUGGGGCAUCUUGAGGUAAAGAAAGGUAACGCUUUGGGAUGGGCCCGCGUCCCAUUAGCUAGUUGGUGAGGUAACGGCUCACCAAGGCGACGAUGGGUAGCCGGCCUGAGAGGGUGGACGGCCACACUGGGACUGAGACACGGCCCAGACUCCUACGGGAGGCAGCAGUAGGGAAUAUUGCGCAAUGGACGGAAGUCUGACGCAGCGACGCCGCGUGAGCGAUGAAGGUCUUCGGAUCGUAAAGCUCUGUCCUUGGGGAAGAAGGCGAAAGCUUGACGGUACCCAAGAAGAAAGCCCCGGCUAACUACGUGCCAGCAGCCGCGGUAAUACGUAGGGGGCGAGCGUUGUCCGGAAUUACUGGGCGUAAAGGGUGCGUAGGCGGCCCUUUAAGUCGGAUGUGAAAGCCCGCGGCUUAACCGCGGAAUGGCAUUCGAAACUGGAGGGCUUGAGUGUCGGAGAGGGUAGUGGAAUUCCCAGUGUAGCGGUGAAAUGCGUAGAUAUUGGGAGGAACACCAGUGGCGAAGGCGACUACCUGGACGAUAACUGACGCUGAGGCACGAAAGCUAGGGGAGCAAACAGGAUUAGAUACCCUGGUAGUCCUAGCCGUAAACGAUGGGUACUAGGUGUGGGUGGUUUCGAUACCAUCCGUGCCGUANUUAACGCAUUAAGUACCCCGCCUGGGGAGUACGUGCGCAAGCAUGAAACUCAAAGGAAUUGACGG